RNAcentral lists this transfer RNA (83 nucleotides) under Acidimicrobiia bacterium. RNAcentral describes it as "tRNA-Leu". It matches the Rfam family "tRNA". Rfam says of the family: Transfer RNA (tRNA) molecules are approximately 80 nucleotides in length. Their secondary structure includes four short double-helical elements and three loops (D, anti-codon, and T loops). Further hydrogen bonds mediate the characteristic L-shaped molecular structure. tRNAs have two regions of fundamental functional importance: the anti-codon, which is responsible for specific mRNA codon recognition, and the 3' end, to which the tRNAs corresponding amino acid is attached (by aminoacyl-tRNA synthetases). tRNAs cope with the degeneracy of the genetic code in two manners: having more than one tRNA (with a specific anti-codon) for a particular amino acid; and 'wobble' base-pairing, i.e. permitting non-standard base-pairing at the 3rd anti-codon position. Lineage: Bacteria; Bacillati; Actinomycetota; Acidimicrobiia. RNAcentral also lists the same sequence under 2 other names. The record is from RNAcentral.
GCCGGGAUGGCGGAACGGUAGACGCGACGGACUCAAAAUCCGUUGUCCGAAAGGGCGUGCGGGUUCGAAUCCCGCUCCCGGUA